RNAcentral lists this ribosomal RNA (253 nucleotides) under uncultured bacterium. RNAcentral's name for it is "partial 16S ribosomal RNA". It matches the Rfam family "Bacterial small subunit ribosomal RNA", at positions 524 to 776 of the family's 1533-position model. The record is from RNAcentral.
UACGGAGGGUGCAAGCGUUGUCCGGAUUUAUUGGGUUUAAAGGGUGCGUAGGCGGCUUGGUAAGUCCGUGGUGAAAUCCUCCAGCUCAACUGGAGAACUGCCAUGGAUACUGCCAAGCUUGAGUACAGACGAGGUAGGCGGAAUGGAUGGUGUAGCGGUGAAAUGCAUAGAUACCAUCCAGAACCCCGAUUGCGUAGGCAGCUUACUAGGCUGUAACUGACGCUGAGGCACGAAAGCGUGGGGAGCGAACAGG